RNAcentral lists this unclassified non-coding RNA (279 nucleotides) under plant metagenome. RNAcentral describes it as "partial contains small subunit ribosomal RNA, internal transcribed spacer 1, and 5.8S ribosomal RNA". The record is from RNAcentral.
UCUCCGUUGGUGAACCAGCGGAGGGAUCAUUACCGAGUUCCGGCUACUCCCAACCCUUGCGACCCGUACCCCAGUCUGUUCUCGUUGCUUCCGGCAGGCGGGGGGGGCCCCCCCGCCGCUCCCCCUGCCGGGUUCGGCGUGCCCUCUUAACCUCUAUAUCCCAACCACUUAAACCCGUCUCAGCCAAACAACAAAUUAUUACAACUUUCAACAACGGAUCCCUUGGCUCUGGCAUCGAUGAAGAACGCCGCCGAUCACCACAGCCCACCUCUGAACCCC